AGUGAACGCUGGCGGCGUGCUUAACACAUGCAAGUCGAACGAGAACGGGCUAUAGCUUGCUAUAGUUGUCAGCUAAGUGGCGCACGGGUGAGUAAUGUAUAGGUAAUAUGCCUCUUACUAAGGGAUAACAAAUGGAAACGUUUGCUAAUACCUUAUACUCCUUAUUAACAGAAGGUAAAAAGGGAAAGAUUUAUUGGUAAGAGAUUAGCCUGUAUUGUAUCAGUUAGUUGGUGGGGUAAUGGCUUACCAAGACUAUGACACAUAACUGGUUUGAGAGGAUGAUCAGUCACACUGGAGCUGAGACACGGUCCAGACUCCUACGGGAGGCAGCAGUGGGGAAUAUUGCACAAUGGACGAAAGUCUGAUGCAGCAACGCCGCGUGGAGGAUGACACAUUUCGGUGCGUAAACUCCUUUUAUAUGAGAAGAUAAUGACGGUAUUAUAUGAAUAAGCACCGGCUAACUCUGUGCCAGCCGCCGCGGUAA
RNAcentral lists this ribosomal RNA (484 nucleotides) under uncultured bacterium. Its description in RNAcentral is "partial 16S ribosomal RNA". It matches the Rfam family "Bacterial small subunit ribosomal RNA", at positions 29 to 523 of the family's 1533-position model. The record is from RNAcentral.